GUAGUCGGAUUCACAUCAAUCCACAUGUGUUGGGGUGGAUUGGAAUAAAAUUUCAACUAAAUUUCACACUAAUCCACUCAAACACAUGUGGAUUGAGAUGAAUCUGAUA
Molecule: microRNA precursor, 109 nt
Organism: Sorghum bicolor (sorghum)
Lineage: Eukaryota; Viridiplantae; Streptophyta; Magnoliopsida; Poales; Poaceae
Rfam family: MIR5565 microRNA precursor family
Source: Rfam